GUCUUCUGCCACACCAUCUGAACACUCCUGAUCUAAUCCGGUUCCAGAAGCUAAGUGGUGCCGGGCCUGGCUAAUACUUCCCACGACGUCC
Molecule: ribosomal RNA, 91 nt
Filed under: Mus pahari (shrew mouse)
Lineage: Eukaryota; Metazoa; Chordata; Mammalia; Rodentia; Muridae
Description: rRNA (MGP_PahariEiJ_G0032596.1)
Source: RNAcentral